This 4703-nucleotide long non-coding RNA is filed under the name Salmo salar (Atlantic salmon). Its description in RNAcentral is "lncRNA (ENSSSAG00000101581.1)". Lineage: Eukaryota; Metazoa; Chordata; Actinopteri; Salmoniformes; Salmonidae. The record is from RNAcentral.
AAAUAAAUAAGCAUAAAUAUGGGUUGUAUUUACGAUGGUGUUUGUUCUUCCUGGUUGACCUUUUCUUGUGGCAACAGGUCACACAUCUUGCUGCGGUGAUGGUACACUGGGAUUUCACCCAAUAGAUAGGGGAGUUUAUCAAAAUCGGGUUUGUUUUCGAAUUCUUUGAGGGUCUGUGUAAUCUGAUGGAAAUAUGUGUCUCUAAUAUGGUCAUACAUUUGGCAGGAGGUUAGAAAGUGCAGCUCAGUUUCCACCUCAUUUUGUGGGAAGUGUGCACAUAGCCGGUCUUCUCCAUCAGUGUUUUAUUCUAGGCUUCUACACUGCGAGAGAGCAGACACACCUCUCGAAAAUCGAAGGAGACUUGAUACGGCACUUCUGAUAUCUCGCCUGGAACUUCCUCUUUUAUAGCAGGUAGACUACUACUGUAGUAUUAACGCGCCUGUAUAUGUUGAACAGCUACUUAUUUGCCCCAGUAUCUGUGCUUUAGAGAUGUCGACGAUACACGUCAUACUCAUCGUCGACAUCUCUAACGCACAAAUACUGGCGCACUAGCAUACUUAUUAUUUGCUUAUGCUACCGUCUAUUUGUUCUUGCCGUUGGUCGGUGUCAGUAAAUGAAGGCCAAAGGGAAUUGUUGAAUCGUUCGUAUUAAAUAGCUUCUGCAUUUCGCUGAGCCAGCGUUUAUUUGGGAUAAGCAGAGAGGGGACACCUGUGGCUUUGUGGUAAGUUGGCAGCAGUUUUACAAUACUCCGCUUUUCCUGGCCACAGUAAUAACCUACAGCGUGGUGAUAUAAAUUGUAUUAUAGCGCAGUAAUUGUAUGGAUAUUAACAUGUAGCCUUUCAGCUUACCCUGAACAUUUUGUAUAAUAUAAUAGUAAACACAGGAUAUCUCAUAGUGUCGGUUUAUAGAUAGAGAAGUAGGUUGCAGAUCUGCAGACAGCAUUUCGCAGAGGCAGACAUCGCGAUGAAGGACAUUUCGAGGGUUAUGGUGUACGGGUUUCCGACCGACCAUCAUCAAAAGCGACUGAACGAAGGAGGCCACGCGAGUCAAUGCAAUGGAGCUCCAGAGGUAACGUUAACCGGUCAUGACUGUUGACUAGGCUAGCGUUAGACACUGGACAACUUUGUUGCAACUCUAGUUGAAGGUAACUAGCUAAUUGCAUCUGAAGUGUUUUGUGUAACCCCCCCCCCAGCAAAUAAGGUUAGCAAGCAACUCAAUUGUAACUAAAAUUGCAACACAGUUUAUCCGUGUACCCCUGUUAUUAGGUAACGUUAGUUACUGUAGCUAGCUCCCACCUCAGAUAGUCAAGUACUGUAAUACAUUUUGUUGACAGAUUUGUUUUUGUAAUGUUUUGUUAACUCCACCUCAUUUAGCUAGACUGAAGUUGACAUAACUAAUGUUUGCUGAUAAAGACAUGUCCCUGUAUUUGCUGUGUGUGUGUGUGUGUGUGUGUGUUGAUAAAGCAUACAACAGGUAGCUUGUUAAUGCCAACUGAUAUAUGUGGGUUCAGUUGUCUUAACAAAACGUUUGCUUGUUUUCAGGAUGACAUCUUCAUCCCUGAAAAUGUUUUCAUCCUGCAGGAGGCAGGGGGAAAGAACGGUUAGUACAGCAUGCCAAACUGACCCCUGGGUGGCAGAGUGUUCCUGUGCUGCGGUGGAGAAGAGGUCCACCGGGACCAUCACCAAAGAGCUCAGGGCCCAGCUAGAUUGCGCUCACGACCAUCAGUAUACAAUCGAGUCCUGCCCCUAUUUGCCACAGAUGGAGCUGAUGGAGAGUGAGAUCAGUGAAGACCAUAACUCGCUGAGAGCUCAGAAUCACACUCAUCACAGUGCGAGCCAAAAUAUACUAUCGAUCACUUUGGGGGAGCGGGAUGGUGUUCCGAAAAUGGAGAAGGAGCAGGCCAUUCAACAGCCAAUUCAAAGAUACACCCAUCCAUAAAGGGAAUUGGAGUGGAAUUAUUUUUUCAAAUAUGUUUUUUUACCCGUUUCAAUGGACGUGCUUCCUUGUCCUGGUUCUGCUGUUUCGACACUCUCUCAACCUAUUAUUGCUCAGCUAUGAAAAGCCAACUGACAUUUGCUCCUGAGGUGUUGAACUGUUGCACCCUCUAUAACCACUGUGGUUAUUAUUUUGAUGUAAAAAGGGCUUUUGUCAAUAUAUAUUUGAUUGAUUGAUUGUUUGCUGUGCUGGAUGCUGUGUAUUCACUAACUGUCUGAGUGAUGGAACAUUUUUGUAGUAUCUGUAACAUAUUUUGGUGUGUAUUUAAUGCAUCUUAACUUCUUUCCUUCAAAUAAUUUUAGAUGAUUUAUUGACUGGCUAUGGCUUUCCAGAUCACCCAACACUGCUAUUUGUAAGGUUAAUUUUAAGUGCAUGUUGUGAUUUUUUUUUUUACCAUUCCUGAACCUGUGACCAGAAACAAGCUACGUAGGGGCAAUACCAGAAUAAGUGAUCUACUGAUUCAGUCUCUUAGCUGCUCCCAUUACCUCACUGCUGAAGGGGGGUCCUGUAGUCUGCAGUGGUCGGUUGAGGCAGACAGGACUUUUGGGCAACUAAGAGUUUACCUCGGCUCCCGUGCUGGCCCAUCCGGAUCCCUCUUUGGCAUUCAUAGUGGAGGUGGACGCGUCCGAGGCUGGGAUUGGAGCUGUGCUCUCUCAGCGCUCGGGCACGCCACCAAAGCUCCGCCUCUGUGCUUUCUUCUCGAAGAAGCUCAGCCCGGCGGAGCGGAACUAUGAUGUGGGGGACCGGGGGCUGUUGGCUGUGGUUAAGGCUUUGAAGGCGUGGAGACAUUGGCUUGAGGGGGCUAAACACCCUUUCCUCAUCUGGACUGACCACCGCAACCUGGAGUACAUCCGUGCAGCUAGGAGACUGAAUCCUCGUCAGGCAAGGUGGGCCAUGUUCUUUACCCGUUUUGUGUUUACCCUGUCCUACAUACCAGGUUCCCAGAAUGUGAAGGCAGACGCACUGUCCCGGCUGUAUGACACAGAGGAGUGGCCCAUGGAUCAGACUCCCAUUCUCCCGGCCUCCUGCCUGGUAGCGCCGGUCGUGUGGGAGCUGGACGCGGACAUUGAGCAGGCGUUGCGUACAGAGACCGCUCCACCCCAGUGUCCCGUUGGGCGUCAAUACAUUCCGUCUGCUGUCCGUGACCAGUUGAUCUAUUGGGCCCACACAUCACCCUCCUCUGGUCAUCCGGGGAUCGGUCGGACGGUGCGCUGUCUGACUGGGAAGUACUGGUGGCCCACCUUGGCUCGGGACGUGAGGGUUUAUGUUUCCUCCUGCUCGGUGUGCGCCCAGUGUAAGGCUCCUAGACACCUGCCCAGAGGGAAGCUACAUCCCUUACCCGUUCCACAACGGCCUUGGUCACACCUGUCGGUGGAUUUUCUAACGGAUCUUCCUCCCUCACAGGGAAACACCACGAUCCUGGCCAUUGUGAAUUGUUUCUCUAAGUCCUGUUGUCUCCUCCCUCUGCCCGGUCUCCCUACGGCCCUACAAACUGCGGAGGUCCUGUUUACACACGUCCUCCGGCACUACGGGGUGCCUAAGGAUAUAGUGUCUGAUCGAGGUCCCCAGUUCACUUCGAGUCUGGAGGGCGUUCAUGGAACGUUUGGGGGUCUCGACCUGCCGGAAGCUGGGCCCACGGUUUGUCGGGCCAUUCAAAGUCCUGAGGAGAGUGAACAAGGUAUGUUACAGGUUACAGCUUCCCCCCGAUUACCAUAUUAACCCCUCGUUCCAUGUCUCUUCUCAGGCCGGUGGUGGCUGGUCCGCUCCAGGAGUCUAAGGUACGGGAGGUUCCUCCGCCCACUCUGGACAUCGAGGGGGCCCCGGCGUACUCCGUCCGUUCCAUCCUGGAUUCGAGGCGUCGGGCCUUCAGUACCUCAUGGAGUGGGAGGGGUACAGUCCGGAGGAGAGGUGCUGGGUUCCAGUGGCUGAUGUAUUGGACCCUGAACUGCUGCGUGAGUUCCACCGUCGCCGGCCGGAUCGCCCUGCACCUCGCCCUCCGGGUCGUCCCCGAGGCCGGUGUCGACGCACCGCUGGAGCCGCGCGUCGGGGGGGGAGUACUGUCACGACUUCCGCCGAAGUCGUCGACUCCUUGUUUGGGCGGCGGUCGACGUCACCGACUUUCUAGCUAUCGCCGCUCCAUUUUUCAUGUAUCCAUUUGUUUUUUCUUGUUCCCUGCACACCUGGUUUUCAUUCCCCAAUCAAUCUACAUGUAUUUAUUCCUCUGUUCCCCAUCAUGUCUUUGUGAAAGAUUGUUUGUGUUACAUGUUUAUUGUUGACGUGCUAGACUGGUUUGUUUUUUUCUGUGGUAUUUUUCACGAAGAUGUUUAUUGUUAAACAUAAUUCUUGUGACUGUUUUGCGCAUUUUGCCCUUUUGCCUCAGUGUGCGCCUGUUCACAAAUCUCUGCUCUCCUGCACCUGACCUCGUUACCAGUACACACACACCUGACAACCAUCCGCCCAUUUUAUUGGUAAACUACAAGGGUGAACUGGCGAUAAACUGCCAGCCUGUAUGCUCUGCAAACAAAAUCAUAAGAAAAGUUAGUCUGAUACCGAAACAAUAUCACAAUGUAUUGUGGUGUACAGCAGGUGAGCCACCAGGGGGAGACUCGUCGAGGCCUGGUGGCAGACGGUGAUUACAUCACGAGGCGAUGGCGCCCUCUGCAGGACGUGCCAGGUCUUGACGGGCUCUCUGGCCAGGACUAAUUGGG